RNAcentral lists this small RNA (246 nucleotides) under Neogale vison (American mink). RNAcentral's name for it is "Neovison vison (American mink) 7SK RNA (ENSNVIG00000012073.1)". The stretch from base 1 to 188 matches the Rfam family "7SK RNA". From Rfam's summary of the family: 7SK was discovered as an abundant small nuclear RNA in the mid-70s but a possible function has only recently been suggested. Two independent studies have found that 7SK RNA binds the CDK9/cyclin T complex (known as elongation factor P-TEFb). P-TEFb activates transcription by phosphorylating the C-terminal domain of RNA polymerase II. The record is from RNAcentral. Lineage: Eukaryota; Metazoa; Chordata; Mammalia; Carnivora; Mustelidae.
GGAUGUGAAGACAGUAUGGCUAUGACAUCUGCCAUCCCAUUGAUCACCAGGAUUGAGUCAGCUGAUCUGACUGGCUAGACAGGUGUCCUCUUCCUCCCCACCACUCCAUGUGCAUCCCUCCCAAAGCUGAGCUCUUAGUUAAAGUGGUCAAUGGUCCCUUGAUAGUGUAGCUGUAGUUUCCUGUUAGAACCUUCAAAACAAGAAAGAAAGAAAGAAAGAAAGAAAGAAAGAAAGAAAGAAAGAAAG